UACGGAGGGGGCUAGCGUUGUUCGGAAUUACUGGGCGUAAAGCGCGCGUAGGCGGACCUGCAAGUCGGGGGUGAAAGCCCGAGGCUCAACCUCGGAACUGCCUUCGAUACUGCGGGUCUCGAGUCCGGGAGAGGUGAGUGGAAUUCCUAGUGUAGAGGUGAAAUGCGCAGAUAUCAGGAAGAACACCCGUGGCUAAGGCGGCUCUCUAGUACGGUACUGACGCUGAGACGCGAAAGCGUGGGGAGCGAACAGG
RNAcentral lists this ribosomal RNA (253 nucleotides) under uncultured bacterium. RNAcentral describes it as "partial 16S ribosomal RNA". It matches the Rfam family "Bacterial small subunit ribosomal RNA", at positions 524 to 776 of the family's 1533-position model. The record is from RNAcentral.